GUUGGGUGCACUGGCGCACACCUGUAAUUCCAGCGACUUGGGAGGCUGAGGUAGGAGGAUUGCAAGUUUGAGGCCAGCCUCAGCAACUUAGCAAGACCCUGUCUCAA
RNAcentral lists this small RNA (107 nucleotides) under Marmota monax (woodchuck). Lineage: Eukaryota; Metazoa; Chordata; Mammalia; Rodentia; Sciuridae. The record is from RNAcentral.